AGUGAACGCUGGCGGUAGGCCUAACACAUGCAAGUCGAACGGCAGCACAGGAGAGCUUGCUCUCUGGGUGGCGAGUGGCGGACGGGUGAGGAAUACAUCGGAAUCUACUCUGUCGUGGGGGAUAACGUAGGGAAACUUACGCUAAUACCGCAUACGACCUACGGGUGAAAGCAGGGGAUCUUCGGACCUUGCGCGAUUGAAUGAGCCGAUGUCGGAUUAGCUAGUUGGCGGGGUAAAGGCCCACCAAGGCGACGAUCCGUAGCUGGUCUGAGGGGAUGAUCAGCCAGACUGGAACGGAGACACGGGCCAGACUCCUACGGGAGGCAGCAGUGGGGAAUAUUGGACAAUGGGCGAAAGCCUGAUCCAGCCAUACCGGGUGGGUGAAGAAGGCCUUCGGGUUGUAAAGCCCUUUUGUUGGGAAAGAAAUCCAGCUGGCUAAUACCCGGUUGGGAUGACGGUACCCAAAGAAUAAGCACCGGCUAACUUCGUGCCAGCAGCCGCCGUAA
This 506-nucleotide ribosomal RNA is filed under the name uncultured bacterium. RNAcentral's name for it is "partial 16S ribosomal RNA". It matches the Rfam family "Bacterial small subunit ribosomal RNA", at positions 29 to 523 of the family's 1533-position model. The record is from RNAcentral.